UACGGAGGGUGCAAGCGUUGUUCGGAUUUAUUGGGCGUAAAGCGCGUGUAGGCGGCUAGGUAAGUCGGGUGUGAAAUCCCGGGGCUUAACCCCGGAACUGCAUUCGAAACUGCCUGGCUAGAGUCCCGGAGAGGAGGGCGGAAUUCCCGGUGUAGAGGUGAAAUUCGUAGAUAUCGGGAGGAACACCAGUGGCGAAGGCGGCCCUCUGGACGGUGACUGACGCUGAGAUGCGAAAGCGUGGGGAGCAAACAGG
RNAcentral lists this ribosomal RNA (253 nucleotides) under uncultured bacterium. RNAcentral's name for it is "partial 16S ribosomal RNA". It matches the Rfam family "Bacterial small subunit ribosomal RNA", at positions 524 to 776 of the family's 1533-position model. The record is from RNAcentral.